AUCCAACUGACGAGUCCCACAUAAGACAAGACGUACGUCCUGGAU
Molecule: non-coding RNA, 45 nt
Filed under: Schistosoma mansoni
Lineage: Eukaryota; Metazoa; Platyhelminthes; Trematoda; Strigeidida; Schistosomatidae
Source: RNAcentral